Liolophura sinensis is the source of this 1020-nucleotide long non-coding RNA. RefSeq lists it as uncharacterized. The transcript is spliced from 2 exons. NCBI's taxonomy places the organism in Eukaryota, Metazoa, Mollusca, Polyplacophora, Chitonida, Chitonidae. The record is from RefSeq and is a predicted model, not a curated record.
CAAAACGACUCAGUGUGAGUGUUUGUCUGACAAUGGAGACAAGAAGAUAAGGGAGGGUAAGCCUAACCCUCUAUUUUACUGUUUAGAAUCCUGCAGUUCAGAUAGCAGCUGUAAUGACACACGAGAUGUACGGACCCAUCUAAUACUGGCAGGCACCUGUGUAACUGUUUACCAGGAGCAACACUGUCACCCACAGGACAAUGCCUGUGUGUGUACUAAAGGUUGUAUUUGACUAUUGACAUAUAAUAUAAUUGCGGAAGUGCCAAAAUCCAAUGUAUUAAGUUAACUGACCCACGUGGCUCAGAGUCUUUGCCUCAAUUGUUAAUAUAUAUCAUUGCUUGCGUAGUUUUUUGCUGGAGUUUGUCAGACAGAUGUGGUCUAUUCCGUCAUUACUUACACGUGGGUAGCAUACCCGAUGCAUGUAGUUCGACACAUGCUCAGUUACGUAGUGGGAUGCCCUUGUAGGAAUACAUGCAAAAAGUGAUUAACGUACAAUGUGCGCGUAUAGCUUAUGCUUAUAACUACCCGAGUUAAGGCUUCCAAGAUUAAUAAAUCAAGGAUGUGAUCGCAAUUACUCAGUGCAAUUAAUACAACCAUAAAAAUCUACGAAACAUUUUCGUUUUCUUGACUGCUAGUGCACUGGACUCCAAAUACUUCAUUUCACUGUUAAGUUGUUCCAGAAAUUCUGCCAGUGGAGAAAAAAGGGGAAUAUAUGCGUCAAUACAGGCAUUUAUACACUAUUGAUUAAUAGUUUGAUUUUCUCCCACUUUCUGACAUUUCAGCUGUGCGAGAUAGGCCCGUUUUCUUGACUUCUAGUGCACUGGUCCCCAAAUACGUCAUUACGCUGUCAACUUGUUGCAGAAAUGCUGCCAGUGUCAGAAUAUGUGCAGACAGAAAAAAAAAACACGAUGCCUUCAAAUAUUUGACGCGGUGGUAACAAAAAAGAAAAAAGCAGAUAUGGUAGAAUGAAAUUGUUUAGACAAUUGGCAUCCUUUAGUAACCGAUACUAACCACUUAUAU